RNAcentral lists this ribosomal RNA (253 nucleotides) under uncultured bacterium. RNAcentral's name for it is "partial 16S ribosomal RNA". It matches the Rfam family "Bacterial small subunit ribosomal RNA", at positions 524 to 776 of the family's 1533-position model. The record is from RNAcentral.
UACAGAGGGGGCAAGCGUUGUUCGGAAUUACUGGGCGUAAAGGGCGCGCAGGCGGCCUGCUAAGUCGAACGUGAAAUCCCUGGGCUCAACCCAGGAACUGCGUCCGAUACUGGUUGGCUUGAAUCCGGGAGAGGGAUGUGGAAUUCCAGGUGUAGCGGUGAAAUGCGUAGAUAUCUGGAGGAACACCGGUGGCGAAGGCGGCAUCCUGGACCGGUAUUGACGCUGAGGCGCGAAAGCCGGGGGAGCAAACGGG